RNAcentral lists this small RNA (261 nucleotides) under Brugia malayi. Its description in RNAcentral is "RNA transcript Bm16806". Lineage: Eukaryota; Metazoa; Nematoda; Chromadorea; Rhabditida; Onchocercidae. The record is from RNAcentral.
AAGCCUAAGCCUAAGCCUAAGCCUAAGCCUAAGCGUAAGCCUAAGCCUAAGCCUAAUCCUAAGCCUAAGCGUAAGCCUAAGCCUAAGCGUAAGCCUAAGCCUAAGCGUAAGCCUAAGCCUAAGCCUAAGCCUAAGCCUAAGCCUAAGCCUAAGCCUAAGCCUAAGCCUAAGCCUAAGCCUAAGCGUAAGCCUAAGCCUAAGCCUAAGCCUAAGCCUAAGCCUAAGCCUAAGCCUAAGCCUGAGCCUAAGCCUAAGCCCCCC